This 26-nucleotide non-coding RNA is filed under the name Rattus norvegicus (Norway rat). Lineage: Eukaryota; Metazoa; Chordata; Mammalia; Rodentia; Muridae. The record is from RNAcentral.
UCCUAAUGCCCCUAUGCCUACUUUGU